ACAACGUUUGAGUUCCUGCCUGCUCUUGUUCCAUGGAAUACACGUGGGCUCAUGGAGAAGGACUUGAUGAGCUGAUUGUUCUUGCAGUGGUCCUGGAUGUAGCUGCAGAAGACUAUUACUUGACUCUUUCACCUGCCAUUGCCUCACUCCAGAGGAAGGCAGAUUUUGAAGAAAAACUGAUAAGUUUUACAUUGACAGAACAAAGAUGAAAAGAGCUCAUUUCUCUACUCACUUGGAAGAAGCAUUGAGCAUGUCUUUUCAGACUCUGGACAGCACUAAAUAAAAAUAAAUUGCCUGUACUCUGGCUUAUGAGA
RNAcentral lists this long non-coding RNA (314 nucleotides) under Coturnix japonica (Japanese quail). RNAcentral's name for it is "lncRNA (ENSCJPG00005014874.1)". Lineage: Eukaryota; Metazoa; Chordata; Aves; Galliformes; Phasianidae. The record is from RNAcentral.